GGCUUGUUCAUCACUUAUUUUUUAUUAGCACAAAGUGAUCAUUACCCAAUUAACAAAAUAUAUCCAAAAAAUACAUGCCAUGUACGAAUCCCCCCCGCCCAAUUUUGUUGUUGUUUCUAGCCUUUUGUUGCCAGCAUAAGUGCACAAGGCACACAAUCUUAACCAUUUAUGCUCUGAUUUAUUGGUUUCUCCAGACACAUUUUUGUUAUUUAUCUGAAAGGUUCAAUACAUCAUCUUAAUGCAACAAACGGCAUGCUGCUUAUGCUUAGUGAAAAGGGAAAAUAAAGAAUAUUUUUUUUGUAUAGCCUUUCACCUUUUCUAUUGUACUAUCCACUGUUGGUGCAAUAAUUCUCAUAUGAAAUAUUGUUACUUGUAGAUACUCUUUUUUCGGUUCAAUCCUAAUUUUAAGUGCCUACAAGUUCUUGCACCCUCCGUGCUGCUCUGAGGUGCUUCGUAUUGAUCUCAACCUCUCGGCGACCUCUCUCAUUAAUGGCCGUUCUUCCCCCCUCAUACUCAAGCAACACUUUGCCAGUUGAGCAAUUUCUUGGAGCAGCUCCGUUUCGAAGUCUAAUAUAUUCUUGUCCAAGAUGAAUUAAAGUCCAUUUUCUUUCAUUGCCAGAAGGAAGGAUGAUGCAAGCAGGCCACCAUUUUGUUGGAAGAAAAGCUGCUUUUCUUUCACCAGCUUUCUCUUCUGACAUUCAAUCAGGAGUGCAAAAAUGCAGAUAAGGAGAAGUACUGCACAUGCUGAAAUACCUGUCAAGAUAACAUCCUUUCAGUUUUGGUUCUUGAACACGCAGGUGAGUUGUGUAUCUUUGUAUUAAAGAAGAAAGGAAGGGGGUAGAAGGCCCCGAGCACACUGGAAGCAUACUGGUUUAAUUAGCCUGGAAGACAAUUUUCUUUCAGUUACUAGAACAAGAUUUAGUUUGAGGCACAUGCUCAGACGUAAAAUGGGAAAUUCUACUGCUUUCUUUAGAACAUAAGGACGGGUUACUACUUAAUAGUUUUAUCAUUUAGUACAUUUGAGCGCAUAAAUAGGUAUGCGUUUGUUCCUUAUGCAAUGAUAAAAGUGGGCAUACGAUCUGCAUGUAAGUCAAUGUAGCAUAUGCAGCUAUUAUUUACUACCUCCAUCCGAAAAUAAGUGUCUCAACUCUAGUACAACUUUGUACUAAAGUUAGUACAAAGUUGAGACACUUAUUUUGGGACGGAGGGAGUAUAUGACAACCUUCAGCCUUUUUGUGUUUUUAGUGGUUUUCUGCUGUCGUUAUCAGGAAAAUGGCGUUCAGAAAAAAAUCAUGGAAAAAAUAUGAUUAUGUACGAGCUGUGCAAAAGUAAGAAAAAUUUGAGAUAUGGAACAAAUUGCUGUACAGUACAAGUUAUGAAACUUGUUGUGCAUAAAUGCAUCACGAUUUUUGCAAAGUUAGAAACAUUGGGUUCAUAUGUACCAUGUUCUAAAAAUUGGCUCUAGUCAUUACUACAACUAAUACAAUGCAUGCAUGUGUAAGUGUCCAAUUUUUUUGGAGGAUGAGAUUAGCUGCAAAUAUGUGUGUUACUCUGGCUUCUGACAUGAUUAUCUGUGGCUUGUUGAUCCACUGCAAAUUUGUAUACAGCUUCCAUAUUUACAAAUAAUUAUUUUUGAAUGAGAGGUACUAUUAUUGGCUAAAUGAUAAAUUUGUGCUCGAUAUAUUUCAUUUUUUUGCUUUAAUAUAAAUAGUUAUUUUUAGUGCAAAGUUGAGUUUUUUUUUGCGGGGAAAAUUUGAGUUCUUGUUGUGAAGUACAAGCAACCAAUGACAUCCAAUUGUAAGAAACUCUGCAUUGUUUUAUGUUAUGAACUUUGUGUGUGAUCUAUUGUCACACACGGGCACUUGGCUACUAUUUAAGUAUGUAAUUUACCAUCAGUAUCUUUAAAUUAUGCAGAAGAUUAUACUUUCUAGAAUAAAUGUUACUUUCACUAAUGCGCUAUAUCAGUUUGACUUAUCCAUGCUAUUGAGAUAUUUGGAACAUGUACCUGCAAACAUUUUUGUUAAUCUAGCUCUUUCUGAAACUGCAAUUGGGUCACAGGUUUUUCUCUUUGGAUCUGCACUCUGAGUCGCAGAUUUGCAUGAACAAUCGUAGUCCCCAAUUAUAUUGCUGCAAAUUCCAUGGCAAGGAUACUCAUCUGGGAAAUUGCACUCAUUGAUAUCUGCACACAUAAUUCAAGAACAGAGAAAUAGCUUGAGAUCGAUGCAGAGAUAACUUGAGGUGAACCCAAAAGAAGGAAGUGAGUUACCAACCUUGGCAUCCUUCUUCCAGGUAUGGAUUGCCUGCAAAACCAUUGUUGCAGGUGCAGAGAUAUCCUGUAGCAUUUGGUGAUGUGAUGCACCGGCUAUUCUUGCUAAUACAGGCAUACGUUGACAUGUUCUUCACGGCUUCAUCACAGUAUUCAUUUCCAGCAACCCAGUCAAGCAGAGUGGGUACUCCAUCCUUGAACUUCUCUUUGAAUUUAUUAUCCUCAAGAUAAGAAGCCUCAAACCUGAACCAAUCCUGCUCGGCGACAAAAGCAUAGCUGCAUGGGUUGAAGCCACUCACCUCAGAAUUGUCGAAUCUGUCAUCGAAUGUUAUAUUGGAGAAAUUGAGGUUUGGCGCAAUAGAUGUCUGGCAACAGCCCAUUCCAGAGCACUGAUCACUUUCAUCCACACUUCGCUUGUCUGCGCACAUCGAGAAACACCCAGCUCCCACUCUGUGCUCGUUAAAGCCUCCCAGGAAUGCAAGGGUGUUGCAUCCAACCGCUGUUAAUUUAUUUGCCUUGGUUGAUAUUGUAAAAAACUUACCCGUAUUUAACCAGGCCCAUCCCCCUGUCU
This is a non-coding RNA of Triticum urartu, 2837 nucleotides long. The record is from RefSeq and is a predicted model, not a curated record. Lineage: Eukaryota; Viridiplantae; Streptophyta; Magnoliopsida; Poales; Poaceae.